This 230-nucleotide ribosomal RNA is filed under the name uncultured bacterium. RNAcentral's name for it is "partial 16S ribosomal RNA". It matches the Rfam family "Bacterial small subunit ribosomal RNA", at positions 547 to 776 of the family's 1533-position model. The record is from RNAcentral.
GGAAUUACUGGGGGUAAAGCGUGCGUAGGUGGUUUGUUAAGUCUGUUGUGAAAGCCCCGGGCUCAACCUGGGAAUGGCAAUGGAUACUGGCAGGCUAGAGUGCGGUAGAGGGUAGUGGAAUUCCCGGUGUAGCGGUGAAAUGCGUAGAGAUCGGGAGGAACACCAGUGGCGAAGGCGGCUACCUGGACCAGCACUGACACUGAGGCACGAAAGCGUGGGGAGCAAACAGG